GUUGACCAGCCCCGCCGCUUAUAUCCCCUCAGUCCUGCGGCUCACAUUCACCUCUCUCUCAACGCCGGUCGCCACCUAGAUGUGUCACCUGACUUGCCACCGUCCUCCACUCUCGUCUCAGAUUUGACCCCAAAGUCAAGCGGCAGGCAGCAGCAGAAGGUUCCCGUGUCGCCAUGAGCUGGAUGGGGAAGCGGGGGUUGGGUGGGGAGAGCCCGCACUGGCGGAGAAGACGGACGAGGACUGGCGGCUCCGGAGCUACCUCGCUGCCGCGUCCAGUUCGACCCUGCCUCCUGCAAGCACGGCGACUUCUUUGACAACGUCUGGGCGGGCCACGAUCUAACCACGCCCAAUCUCUUCAGGUCAGUACAGUACAGUACAGUAGGCAAUUUGGGAUUUUUUUUGAAACUGAAAUUGAGGAAAUUUUGACACAAAUAAAUGUGGAGACUGAGUUGUUUGGUCAAUUAGUUAAUCAGCACGUACACCAGAGACAAUUUGUUCCAACAAACACAUCCUCGUUCUCCAAACCAAUCUAGCUCGAGGGGUGCCCGACGUCCCUCUGCUUCCACUCCGACUAGUCAGGAGUUCCUCUGCUUCCUUUACGAUGGCCGAUCAAUCGGCACGCAGCGAUCACAGUGGGGCGCCACGCAAUGUUGAUGUCGACCGUAGUUGGAUGUACAAAGAGAGAUGAGGGAAGUUGAUCAGUGAUGCUUGGCAACAUGGAGUAGAUAAUUUUCUAGAUCAUGCAUUCUCAUUGCCCGAUGCUGCUGUAGACGGGAAAUCCCAUUGUCCUUGCAGCAAGUGCUUUUGCGGUCAUAAGUGCACAAGGGAUGUCAUGACCACACACUUGUGCAGCAAUGAGUUCAUGUUAGGAUAUGAGAGAUGGACUAGCCACGGGGAGUCUGAUGCACCUGAAAAUGUAGAGCAUGAUAACGUGGGGGAUGGAGAUAGAAUGAAUGACAUGCUAGUUGAUGCAAUUGUUGCUGAAGGAGUUUCUAAAGGUGAUGAGCCAACAAAAGCUGCCAAAAAAUUCUAUGAAAUGUUGAUGGAAGCCGACAAAAGUUUGCAUGAGAAGACCACACAAUCACGUCUAUCCAUUGUAGGAAGGCUAAUGACUAUUAAAACACAACAUAAUCUGUCAGAAGCUUGUUAUAAUGAGAUGAUGACUCUUAUACAUGACAUUGUUGAGGACGAUGCUGCAAAAGAUCUCCCAGCAAACUUCCAUAGGUCCAAGAAGCUUGUGCAUAGUCUAGCAAUGCCUUACGUCAAAAUUCAUGCAUGCCCCAAUAAUUGUAUGCUUUAUUAUAAAGAGAAUGGAAAUAAAGAAAAAUGCACUAUCUGCAAAGAACCUAGAUAUGAGGAAACAACCGCAGGAAAUAAAUCUACGAAGAUACCAAGAAAAGUUCUGCGCUAUCUCCCAAUUACUCCUAGGCUACAACGGUUGUACAUGUCACAAGGCACUGCCAAGCACAUGGACUAUCACGCAAGGCCUCAUAACAGUGAUGAAGUAAUGGUUCACCCUUCUCAUGGUGAAGCUUGGAAGGAAUUUAAUAAGGAAUUUUAAAAAUUUGCUGAGGAAGUAAGGAAUAUAAGGCUGUGUCUAGCGACUGACGGCUUCACACCUUUUGGUAUUAAAGCAGCCUCCUACUCAUGUUGGCCAGUAUUUGUUGUGCCUUAUAAUCUUCCACCGGAAAUGUGCAUGAAGCAGAGUAACCUGAUCCUUGCACUAGUUAUUCCCGGUCCAGAUCAUCCAGGAAAGAACCUAAACGUUUUUAUGCAGCCUCUAGUUGACGAACUUGAUGAUUUGUGGAGAAAUGGUGUAGAAACUUAUGAUAGUUAUCGAAAGCAAAAUUUCACCUUAAAGGCAGCUUUGCUUUCGACUAUUCAUGACUUUCCAGCUUAUGGAUUAGUAGCAUGCUGGAGCACUCAUGGAAAUCUUGCUUGCCCUAUAUGUGGAUCUGACAUAAAGACAUUCUCAUUGAAGAAUGGGAGAAAGCCAUGCUGGUUUGACUGCCAUAGGAGAUUCCUUCCCACUGACCAUGCAUUUCGUAGGAGUGUGAAAUGUUUUCGCAAGAAAAAAACAGUUUUAGAUCCUCCACCAAAGCACUUGUCCGGAGAAGAGGUGUAUGAAGAACUCCAAAGUCUUGUCCAUGAUGAAACUGGCAAGAGUGAAUUUGAGGGGUUUGGGAAGGAGCACAAUUGAUAGCUAUAAGUGGUUUGUGGCAGCUAGAGUAUUUUCGGAAGUUGCUGCUUCGCCAUAACAUUGAUGUAAUGCACAAUGAGAAAAAUGUAUCUGAGGCUUUACUAAACACAUGCCUUGAUAUUCCUGAGAAAACUAAGGAUAACAACAAAGCACGCCUUGAUGUUGAUUUAUAUUGUGAUCGACCAAAGCUACACCUGAACAAGAAUUCAAGGGGUGUGUGGAAGAAACCUAGAGCAAAAUAUUGUGUCAGCAAGGAAGAUAGAAUGACCAUCCUUAAGUGGUUUAAAGAAGUGAAGUUUUCUGAUGGGUUUACUGCUAAUUUGAGUAAAACUGUCAACUUGAGUAAAAACAAAUUCAUUGGGCUGAAAAGCCAUGACCACCACAUCAUCAUGGAGCGCCUCCUGCCAGUUGCCCUACGAGGCUUCAUCCCGGAACCUGAAUGGAAGGUCAUAACAGAGUUAAGUUUUUUUUAUCGGCAAUUGUGUGCCAAAGAAAUUGCUCCAAAACGGAUGCGUGGACUUGAGGAGGAGGUUCUUGUUCUAUUAUGCAAGCUUGAGAAAAUGUUCCCACCAGGCUUCUUCAAUGUAAUGCAACACCUGAUAGUGCAUCUUCCAUAUGAGGCAAGGGUUGGCGGCCCUGUGGCAUAUCGUUGGAUGUAUGUUUUUGAGAGGGCAAUGCACUAUCUUCGUUUAAAAGUGUGAAACAAAGCAAGAGUGGAGGGUUCAAUCGUUGAAGCUUGUAUUGUGCAGGAGAUCACGAAUUGUGUUUCUCUUUACUUUAGUGAUCAUGUUCGCACUAUAUGGAAGAAGAAUCCUCGAUAUAAUAAUGGAGGAACACGCGUGCAGAAUGAUGGUUGCACCUUAGAUGUGUUUGAGCAUGUAGGAAACCUACAUGGGAGGCCUAUUGCCCGAGAACUAUCGCGUGAAGAGUUGAAUGCAGCAAGGUUGUACAUUUUGACUAACUGCUCUGCUGUUGAUAGAUUUCGUGAAACAUUUGAAGAUGAAAAAUAUGCAAGUCAUCCAAACUUGACAUCGGAGGGCCUUGAUGAAAUGAUGGCAUCCGAAUUUGUGGAAUGGUUUGAGAUUGCUUGCAAAGAAGAUCCCAAUUCUGAUGAGGACUUGUGGAAUUUAGCUAAUGGAUGCAGCUCUAGAGCCUAUUCCUAUAGCUCCUAUGAUGUGAAUGGCUUUCGCUUUUGAUCAGAGAUAUCUGAGAAAAAACGUAGAAGGUUGAAAACGGUGAACACAGGGGUUUGUUUGUCAUCCUUCAUCUCAGAGACUGAACAACUUGAGUACUAUGGUGUCAUUGAGGAAAUUAUCAAAGUAUCCUUCACAGCUGGUAAAAAAAUUGAGAUGGUACUCUUCAAAUGCCAUUGGUUUGACCCCAUCAAGGAUGUGAAGCCAAAUGCGAAAUUAGGUUUGGUGGAUAUAAAGUGGUCUUCAAGACUAAGUAAUUUUGAACAAUUUGCCAUGGCUCACCAAGCUACACAAGCUUAUUACUUGCAUUACGCAUCCUCCAGGAGAGAUCUUCGUGAUUGGAGGGUUGUUUACACUAUUCAGCCAAGUACCAACUUGAGUAACUUUGAGGACUGCGCAAAUGACCCAUCUGCUAUAGAUGAAUAUUUCCAGGAAGGUGGUCAGCUGGGUUGUUUUUCUGUAGAUGGUGGCAAAUUUGUUGAUGAAUCUACUGAGCCAAGAAAGGAGUCAGAUGAUGUGGAGCUUGAUCCCUCUGAAAUUUAUGUAAUAGAAAAUCAAGGCAAUAAUUAUGAGGGAGAAGAAUCUUCAGAAGAUGAAUUGGAUGAGAGUACUGAUGAGGAAGAAGAAGAUUUACCUGAAGAGGAAGGACAAGAAGAGACAUAUGAGACCGAAGAUGAGGAUGAUGCAAUAGAGCAUGACUCUGAAUAUGACGAUGAUGAUUACUGAACAUUUAUAGUUUUUGCACUUGUCAUUUUCUGUCUUGGUACCAAUAAAUAUUAUAUAGUGGCACAACUAGUGAAUAAUAUAGUAUGUUUACUAUUGGUAGUAAUACAUAUUACAUAGUGAUUUAGUGAAACAACUAUUGAACAAUAUAUUAUGGUUGAUAGUAUUUAUAGUUUAGUUGUUACAUAAUGUUUUCUGUUGUUUUCUUCUUCUACUGUCAUGCCUUUGGUAAUCAUCUACUAAUUAUUUUUUUAUGUAGCUAAUAAGAAUGUAUUUGUCACUAUGUAAAUAGGAUGACCCGCUUGCAUCAUAGGCGUGUCUCAAUGGCUAGGUCGAACAAGUCUUCUUCUAGUGCCUCCGUAGGAAACAAUGGAUCAACUCGGCCAACUGCACAAACUAAAAAGCCUAGAACACCAAGAACUAGGACUUCAGCCGGUCUCAGACUAGAGGAAAUUGACAGACCGCUUAUAGUUCCCGUUGGCAUGGCAUGGGAAAGGCACCCAUACAGCGCUCGUGAUCCAUCAACAGUGCUAGGUGCCUUAGUGCGCCAGAUGUAUCCACCGCCAAUUGGUCCAAAAAUUGAUCAGAAACCGGUAUUGUGUUGGGAGGACUACAAGUGGUCCCCUGGUCCAGAAGUAAGAACAGCAGCUUCCAAAAUAGUGGAAGAAUUUUGGUGGCGUUUCAAGUGUGACCCAUCGGAGCAAGAGAAGGCAGAUGGUGUUUUGGAGGAGAACUUAACUAGGAAAGUGAAGCUGAUGCUACAUGAGGAAAAGGCGGCAGCCAUCAAAAGAUUAAAGAAGAAGGGACAAUUGCCUACAGAACUAACAGAAGAGGAUGAGGAUGGUAACCGCUGGCCAACUAAGGAAGCUUUAAUUUCUGCAAAGAGAGUUGACUUUGGUACAGACGUUGGUUGGCGUCUACUAUGUGAGCACUGGAGUAUACUGAAUUUGAGGGUUAUCUUUAACCAACAAGAGGAACAGACUUGCUAAUGGGGACACGGUCUUCCAUUGUAGUGGUGCUAGAAAUGUUGUCGCCACACGUCAAUUUCUGAAACUCAAAACCGGGAAAGAUCCUGGAAUUUUUGGUGCUUGGCUUCACACGCACAAAUUGCAUCGAGGGACUGAUGAAGAGCAGAUAUGCAGUCAAAGAACUGCUGAUCAUUGGGAGGAUUUUGAUAAGGCAAUGAAAAAUGCCCAUGGAGAAAAUUGGGAAGAGGAGCACCCGGAUUUAGAUGGACAAAUCAUCUACGAAGCAGCAGGCAGAAUGCCACAUGGCAGGCUGGGAAUUGCUAAUGAGUUGUUUAGCAAAGCAGAGAAGGCGAAGUUUAAGUCUAAAAGGGCGAUGGCCUCACAGCCGGUGCAAUCUCCUAAGGAGGAGCGUCUAGAAAGAGAACACAAACAUUUGAAGCAGGAGAUCAAGCGUCUUCGAGGCAUUGAGCUUGUUGUUCAGUCUUUGGCUGAGGAAGGGGGAGUCGACUUUGAUGGCAUAAUGCAAUCAGCAGCAGAUGACUUGUCUCCAUCAUAUUCUGAAGGCGGAUUUCAAAGGGGACAAGGUGAUGUGCCUCAACACCAAACCGAAAAGGGAAUGGGAAGCAGGACUGGAGGCAGUACAAGUCAUGGAAAUGAUGAUGAGGAUGACUACUAUGGCAAUGGGGGAUAUGAUAACUAUGGCGAGGGUGAUCUGUAUGGUGAUGAGCACUACGAUCACUAUGGCGAUGGGGAAUAUGAUGACUAUGGAGAUGAGGAUGACUAUGGCUCUGGCUAUGGCGGUGGCGAUGGCGAUGAUGAUGAUUGGCUAUAAAAGUCUAAUGAUCUUCAAGUCAUGCCAAAAUGUAGUUAUGUUAGAUAUUUGAAACACUUUAUUAUCUUAUGGACAAAUUUGUCUUAGUAGACAAUUUAUCUUAUGCAAAAUGUGGCCUAUCUCAGUUACUAUUUUGUUCUGCAUUCGACAUUUGAUAAUUAUGGUUAAUGCAAUUUGGAUGCAACUCAA
Long non-coding RNA from Triticum aestivum (bread wheat), 6105 nucleotides. RefSeq lists it as uncharacterized. The record is from RefSeq and is a predicted model, not a curated record. Lineage: Eukaryota; Viridiplantae; Streptophyta; Magnoliopsida; Poales; Poaceae. The transcript has 12 exons.